AACCACUUUCGAGACGCAUCCGACAUCCAGAAAAAAACUCGCGACUCCGCCCCAUCUCCGUCUCCAGCGCUGUCAUCUCUGACUCCUCCCGCGCUCCCUCCCCUUCGUCCUCACGUCACCUCACCCACAGCCGCCGCCCCGGUCCCUGCAGUGCCUCCCCUCCCCUCCCCUCCCCUCCCACGGCCUCUCCAAAGACGGCGGCUGCGACGACUGGGCUCGCCAACGACCGAAUCCCAUCGGCGACAAUCCUCGCUGCCAAAACGCCGAGCACAUCGAGCCCGCCGCCCCUGUGCCAAUGCCGAGCCUCGCCACAAUCUUGCGUUUUGCCAAGCUGUUCGUGGUCGUGGAAGCCGCCCAGGCGGCGGGGUACGUGUACGCUCCUUCCCUGAUCCGGAUCGCCCGUAUCCGCGUCACCGGGCCCUUCACUGUUGACACUUCUUAACGCAACCACCGGAUAUCGGCGACGGCGCCAGAAGUGCCCUGGUAGGGUAACUCUAUUUACUAUUGGAUAAUUCCGCAAGCGCACAGAAUGUACCGCUGUAGCACUUCACCAAGGAGUAUUCCAAGGUAUCGUAAUUUAUAUUUUCCCAAGGGAAAGCGGCUAAGUGUGUUUAACAAAAAGGGGAAUGAGAUUCCUUGAGUUAUCUAGUAUCAACUAGUGAAUAAGGGUGGUAAAUAACGAAUAGGAAGGGUAGUGGUGAAUCCAAGGUCCUAUGCUAAAGGUAAAUGGUAGAGUUAGCUAGGUGGGAGGACAACGAGUGAGUAAAGGACUCCUAUGUAUCUAACUUGACUUCUAUGACUUACUUUAAUAGAUAAUUGCCUUAACUACGCUAGAGCCUUACUAACUGUGUGCGAGGGAUAGCCGAGCUGGUAAGACGCUUAGAAGGUUUUUCACCUAACCCCUUACCGAAAGCGACUAUUGGGCUUAUGGACGCCUUACCUUUUAAGAACUAGCCUGUACGUGAGGAGAACCUAAUGCCGCCCACGAUCUGUCACCUACUAGGGAGUGCGCUCCUACUUUCCGUUCAAGCCAGCGGUAAUCAAAGGUAAUCUUAAGUAUGAGCACCACGCUCACACUUAAUCCUACAACGCUAACUAGUUGCAGCUAGCUAGAGCUCCUAUACAAGAUAGGACGAUGAUGCACACACAGGAGUGGUUACAGGUCACUAACUUCACUAAGACAACUAUAUUACUAAAGUAAAUGCACAACAAGACUAAAAGACUUGCACUAAGUAAGAACUCAGUAAAGUAAAGUAAGAAUAAUAUAUUAAUAAAAGGAAAGUCUUACAAAAGUAGAAAGGUACAAGAGCUAUACCAGACUCUCCAGAAGACGACUCCGGAGACCCCGAGCUUCGCUCGACUCGACUCUAACUCCCACUCUAGACUAACUACUACUCUACUUGUAUGCUUGGAACUUGUAAUGCACUUGGCCUUGGAAUUGCACACUUGAAAUGAAGGAUGGAGGCUGCCUUUUAUAGAGGGAGAUGGAGUAGGGGUUACUCCAUCGCCACGUCAUCGAUCCGCGUGACAUCUUCUCUCCACCCUUGGAUCAAACCGACCUCACAACCGCCAUUUGAUCAACGGCAGGGGCAAAUCAACAUGUGGGACAUGUGGGGAAGGUCGGUGGGAGGCCACCGACCCUGGAACCGCCUUUGAUGUGGGGUCGGGCGACCCCACUUCUGGGCCUCUGGGCCCACCAGCAGUGUCCACAGGGGUCCCUUAUGUCGGUGGACUAGGUGGCACACCUGGGUCCCACCAAAGAGGGGUCGGGCGACCCCCUCCCUGUGGACCCAGGGUGUCACCUGUUGUCCCCUCGAUCUCCUCUUGAUGAUUCUGAUGUUGGCUUUGUCAAAUAAUGUCUUGAAUUUGUUGUUCCUGCAUAAACAAGCUAAGAGUACAAGUGGAACUAGUUAUGGAUAAAAUAUGUUCAUGUCAUGUCGUUUCCCCUUGCAACCGAGGCAUGUUGACGGUGUUUUGUAUGUGGAUUUCUAUGGUAUAUCCACCGUCAACAAGAUCCCCCAAGCUUAACCUUUGCUCGUCCCGAGCAAACAAUCAAACUUAGCCUCGGUGGAUCAGGUAUUGUUACUAUGUUCACAUUUCAAGAGUACCAUGUGUACAACAAAGUUCUUCUCUUUGCAUGAAAAAUUUAGCUAUGUAAACUUACCCCUAUUACCUUAGUCCCUUAUGGGGCUUAUGGCUUUUCCUUUGUCUUAGGUGGUUGAGAGACAGAACAGUUUGACUUGAGCACUAACUUUCUCAUUCUUAGCAAGUUUCAUAUCAGAGGUUUUGUGAUAUUUUCAAAAGAAAGCUUAAAUGUUCCUCUUAUGGUUCUCUCAUGUCACUCAAAUGGUGUAUGAUUCCUCACCAAGGCAUAUGGUAAGAGUUGCCUUCUCUAUUUCAUCCUAUUUCUAAAAGGCUUAUGUGGAGUUAAAGGUAGGGAUGAAAGGAGAUAGCAUACUUACUUUGCAUGUAUUGCGAAGUCAAAGCUCGGAUCCUUGAAGAGAAGUGUCAUACUCCCAGAUCAAGAUGUGCAAGUGUGAUAUAUGGUGGACUAGGUUGCUCCUUUAUUUGAUAGACUCUCUAUGUAUUGAGACAUGGCUAGCAUUUUUUUCUUCUUCUUUUUUUUUAUAUAUGAGCUUUCAUGUGCUCAAUUUUCUUUUUCUGUGGACUUGCACAUGUCCAUCUUUUUAUUUCAUUUUGCCUAGCCUUUUGAUGUCUCAUUUACCAAAUAAUGCUUAGAGAGAUGUUCUAACAUUUAGAGUAUGGAGCAACCUAUUUAGUGGAUGCGAAAUACAUGUGGUUGCGUACUUCCAGUGUAGAAGCAGCAUAUAUAUAUGUGGUGUGUACGUGAUCUUGAUCUUAGGAGCAUGAAAAGUCUCUUAACAAGGGUCAACAAGACUUGACGACACUCAACACAAAGCAAAUAGCUUAUGUGGAAAGGUUGCAAUUAUGUAAAGUAGAUAUGGCUGUGGUAGGAAUUCAUCACCAUUGAGGAACAAUUAAGGUUUUGAUCAUUUUAAGAAUAAAUCUCUGAUAAUCAUGCAUGCUUAGAAAAAUAUUAUAGUAGCUCUUGUCUUACUAUCUCAUGUCCCACAACAACUUAGACUUAGUUCUAGCACUUGCAACCCACAAAGUUUUUAGGUUCAUGGCAGUUUAAGUGAGCUAAGUGAUCCAUACUUAGAGAAAUACUAAGUUGUAUACUAGGCACUAGAGAAACAUUAACAAGCAACUAGUCAUAAUUUCCAUGAGGGAUAUAAACAUACAUGAAGCAUAUAUGCUAAAGGGAAAUGCUAAUAAAUAUUUUUUUUAAGUAAGAAUGAUAAAAUGCAUGAAAAUAAAUAGGAUAGAAUACUUACCUUAGUGGGGGAGAGGAUCUCCCCCAAGCUAGAUCUUCGCUCACUGUGGUGGCGGGAAAUUUUGGUACCAUCCAGCCCAGCGUUGUGCGUCUUCCUCUCGCACACGUCGGAUAUGUUGGCCGUUUUGUAACGCCAGUUGCAAUGUUGCUUCUUGCCCAAUCUGCAAUUCGCCCAUGUCAUUAAUGAGACUGUCCAUACCUGUGGGCUGGUGACGCCUAGCCCUGUCCCUUGGGCGUGGAGUGCGUUGUGGAGGUAGACCCAUGGAGUCUGAAGCAUCCACUGACAUCGCUUCAUCGCCCUCUUCAACGUCAUGGUGUGAGGAUCCUCCUUGCUCCAUCUGGGCGGCUUGCAUCAUCCUUCUUGUCACCCUGCGUGUCCCUGCAACAUCUGGACUUGCCACUCGGGCUAGUCUAAUGGUAAGUGUGCGGACCCCAUACAACCGGCGCCUCGCACAUGGGAGAGGAAUUUCGGUUGUAUAGCCCGGAUAAAUCAUUUUAAGUUCACCAUUUGGAUCUCUUAUGAGCAUGUUAGCAUUGAUAAAGAAGUUCUCAUCUACCACUCCUCUAACAUAGCCAAUGUCUUCAAAAUAAUGUGAUUCAAGUAAUCCAAAAGUAUCGGCUAUUCGAGUAAUAAAGGAUGUGAAAUAGAUGGGCUUCCCAUACUCAAUAGAGUUAAGCCAAUAGUUCACUAGCAGUUUCACAGGGGAGACCUUGAUUUUACUAACCAUGGCAUAGAGAAUUUUAAGUUCAUCAUCAAUUAAAGUAUCAGUUCCCAUGCCAGGAUAUAGAGUGCACAUGAUCCAGAAGUGAAGAAAGCGCAAGGUUGGAUUAUGGAUUUCAAUGGGAGUAGGAUUUGAACAAUCAUUAGAGCCAUAAAUUGCUUUCCAGAAUCUAAAUUUAUCGAACAUUCUAGUGGCAUGAUCUAGAUCAAGUUCACAUUCAUGUUCACACCCUAAAGCAGUGUUUAGCAAACUCCAAUUUAAUUGAUGUUCUUGCUCACACAUGCGAAAAGAUAUUCCAUUAUUUGUGAGUUUUAGGGUGCAUAGAAAUUCCUUAGCAAGCAAUUCUUUUCCAAAUUCAGGCACUUGCCAAAAACUACUCCAACCAAUUGCUCUAAACACCUUAUCGAAUUCAACAUCCAUACCUGUGCGGGCCAAAAGGUCCGGAUCGAUGAUGCUAGUGUGUAGGAAGAGACCCUCUCGGAUGAUGUAGUACCUUUGCAACUCUUCUUGGCUUAACAUGAGGCCGCUCUCGGGCUCUCUCAUCCUUGAUGGAGGCUCGUAGGGUACCAUCCCAUGGUAACCUUCUUCUUCCUCCCUUCCAUGAGCAUGGUGAGAGCCUUGAGAAGAGCUCUCACCCUUUGCUUUCUUGAACUUGCCGAAGAUAUGCUUCUUCAUCCUCCUACACAAGUGAGGCAAACCAAGCUCCUACUACUACUACUAUGCAAGGGGAAUCUUUUUGGGUUUUUGUUUUGAUGACUAUUUCUAAACUAAACUUGAGAAAUGGCUUGUAACAAAGAGAGAAGAGAAAGGAUUGUGAGCUCGAAAGGUUCUGGUGGUUUUGGGUGUGGAGUUGAGCUCACAAUGCUGUGGUAUUUAUAGGGGGAGAAGGGCAAGUAGUGGACCCACAAUAUAGGGGUCGGCCGACCCCCCUAGAAGCACUUUGAAUUUGAGUUUAGCUUUAUACAGGGAACCAUUCUGCAUGCUUUCAAGAUUUUGCAGAGAUGGUCCAAAAUGGGGGUCGGCCGACCCCCAUCCUAGCCCCUCCUCCACUUUAAACAUUGUGUCAUUGAUUGUCCAGAAAAGUAAAGGCUAGGUGUGGACCAAAAGUUUUCAAAUUGUUUCUGAGAUUCCCUGUUUUAGUGCUUUGUGAAAGGUAAAAGAUGAAUGGCAAAAGUGGAGACAUGUCUAAAGUGAUUCCUAUGGACCAUGGGAGCACUCAAGCAUGCCUAGGUGACCACUUUGCAGAAUUUAAGCUAGUGGAGUGGUCCCAAAAGAAUCAAAGAUGAAAGGAGCAUCUUAUGACUAAAGUAAAGGAUCAAGGGACCACUCUUUUUCAAACUUUAGCUAGUGUUACAAGCAUAGGACUCCAUUGUGAUUCAAAUGGUGGCCAGCAGGAGGCAAGUGGGGCCAAUAUGGGGGUCGGCCGACCCCCACAUUGGAGCUCCCAGAGCAUCCAAGUGCUGGGUUGGAACCUCUAUGACUAGCAAGGUUGAAAUGUGGUGAAGUGGGCCCCAAGGUGGGGUCGGGCGACCCCUUUGGGAGCUCCAGCAGCUCAAAUUUUUAUGACAAGUUAUUCUCAAGAUUUUAUUUAUUAUGGCUAAACAUUUUGUCGAAAUAAGAUAUGCAAAAUUCAAAGUAAGAAUGCAAUUGAAAAGUGAAUAGUAGAAAUUGAAAUGCAGAAAAUAAAUAUGGGAUAACUACUGAUUUACCUUAUCAGCAAGGGCUCCAUGUUUUAGGUCCGUAGAGCAUGACCUCUCUAUCUUGUUCAUUCUUGGGUGCAUCAGAUGGUCCCGGAGAUGUGGACCUUGAUUGCACCUCUUUCUCCCGCCAUACUUGCUUGGUAUUGAUUUUUGGUUCAGCGGGUUCCUCUUCUUUCUUUUCGGCCCUUUUGGCCGACUUACCUCUCUUGUCCCUUCGGCGUCGGAUGUGGCGAGGCUUAGUCGGAGGUUCUUUGUCCUUCACCUGCAUGUUAGCUUUAUAACCAUUGAAUGGACAUUUUACCUUCCAUCCUGGGAAUUGGAGGUGAAUCUGGCCGGACCCCACAUAGAUGACUGCAUUGACCGUGUUGAGGAAUGGCCUUCCCAAGAUGAUCGAGACAUCAUUAUUGGAUCCCAUAUCCAAAAUGAUGAAGUCGGCAGGGACGUAGUCGUCUUGGACCUUUACCAGUAUGUCCCUUGCCAACCCCUCAGGGAACCUGAUCGUCUGAUCUGCCAUCUGCAAACGAACAAAUGUGGGGUGCAAAGGCCCCCCUAGCAAAUUAUCAUAAGUUACCUUGGCCAUAAUGUUGACACCCGAUCCAAGGUCGCAGAAGGCGUUGUGGAAGAUUUGCGGUCCGAUCUCACAGGUGAUGGUCGGCAGGCCUGGGUCGUCCUUCUUGGUGAUGAAGGGCGAAUCCAGAAGAUAGCUCCAGUUGGAUUGUACCGGAGGCUUACCGAACCUCAUAGUAACUAGUUUAACUCCUUCAAUUGGGUCCUCAGGUUUCCCUGGGAUCUUACCUUGCUCGAAGGAUGGGACAGCUGCUGCUAAUUGAGCUAAUUGUGUUUCUAGCAUUUUGUUAAAGCUCAACUGAUUUUUCAUAGCAGAGUUAAAGCUAUCCAACUUUUCACUUAAGUUUUCAAGGAUCUUAUCAUUAGCCAUCAUUUUCUUGUUAAUGCUAUCAUUGAUUUUAGAUUGGCCUAAGACAAGAUCUCUAAGAGAAGGUUGGUUACCAAAAGAAUUAUUGAAAUUUUGAUUGUAACCAUUACCUUGAUUACCUUGGUAGAAGGGGCGCGAGUUCCAUUGCUGUUGUUGGGGCCGGUACCCAUUGUUGUUGUUGUUGAUGAAGCUCACUUCCUCCUUUGUUUCGGGACAAUUGUUUCCCGAAUGAUCAUCUCCUCCGCACACUUCGCACCAUGAAUCAGAUUCAAUGGCCCGUGUAGUGGCGUAAGGUUGAAUGGCCUCUUGCUUGGAACUUUCUUCCAUCUUCUUCAUUAAGAGGUCCAUCUUAGCAGAGAGCAUGUCCACCUCAUUCAAGGCAUGGACACCUCUUCUCUUGGGUUGGAGGCGUUCCUCAUUCCAUCCUUGGUUUAUAACCAUCUUUUCAAUGAGGUCCUUGGCAUCCUUGACAUUGUGUUGCAAGAAUGCUCCUCCAGCGGCAGCAUCAAGGUGACUACGGGCCAAACCGGUCAGGCCAUGGUAGAAACCUUGGAUUAGGAGCCACUCCUCUAUCCCAUGAUGAGGACAGGCGCGAAUGUACUCCUGCAGACGUUCCCAUGCUUCGGGAAUCGUCUCAUCUGCUUGCUGUUGGAAGCUGGAAAUCCUUCCACGAAGGGCGCUGGUCUUGCCCAUCGGAAAGAACUUCUUGAGAAAUGCAUUGGCGCACCUCUCCCACGUGGUCACUUCACCCUUGUUGGCGUAGAACCAUUGCUUCGCCUUCCCCAAUAACGAGAAUGGGAAGAGGCGAAGACGUAUGGCGUCUGCGGCGACAUUCUUGAUGGUGAAGGUGCCGCACACCUCCAAGAAGUGUUGGAGAUGGGCAUUGGCAUCCUCGUGUGGCUUUCCACAGAAGGGAUUAGCUUGCACCAUAUUGAUAAGCGCAGGCUUCAACUCAAAAGUCGCAUCCCCCAAGUUAAGCUGCGGACCCGUGGCGACAUUGUCAGCCGACGGCGCAGAGUACUCAGAGAUGGUCUUCUGGGCCAUAGCUUCUUUGAUAACCGGUGCAGAUACUCCUUCCUCUAACGGAUUCAGGUUCGAGAUGAACCUUUGAGGUGGAACUUGACGACGUCUAGUUCUCCUCAACAGUUGCUCAGGAUCUUCAACGAAGUUUGACGGCAAUUGGAAACCGCUCAUACACUGUCAGGCUUCACAAUAAAGGAAGACAAGACAAGUGAUGGGUUUAUCCCUAUCACUACUUGAUAACUAGCAAACUCUGGAUUCUCUUUUUGUUAAAACUCUUAGACAGACGCUCUCCCCGGCAACGGCGCCAGAAAUGCUUGUUGACACUUCUUAACGCAACCACCGGAUAUCGGCGACGGCGCCAGAAGUGCCCUGGUAGGGUAACUCUAUUUACUAUUGGAUAAUUCCGCAAGCGCACAGAAUGUACCGCUGUAGCACUUCACCAAGGAGUAUUCCAAGGUAUCGUAAUUUAUAUUUUCCCAAGGGAAAGCGGCUAAGUGUGUUUAACAAAAAGGGGAAUGAGAUUCCUUGAGUUAUCUAGUAUCAACUAGUGAAUAAGGGUGGUAAAUAACGAAUAGGAAGGGUAGUGGUGAAUCCAAGGUCCUAUGCUAAAGGUAAAUGGUAGAGUUAGCUAGGUGGGAGGACAACGAGUGAGUAAAGGACUCCUAUGUAUCUAACUUGACUUCUGUGACUUACUUUAAUAGAUAAUUGCCUUAACUAUGCUAGAGCCUUACUAACUGUGUGCGAGGGAUAGCCGAGCUGGUAAGACGCUUAGAAGGUUUUUCACCUAACCCCUUACCGAAAGCGACUAUUGGGCUUAUGGACGCCUUACCUUUUAAGAACUAGCCUGUACGUGAGGAGAACCUAAUGCCGCCCACGAUCUGUCACCUACUAGGGAGUGCGCUCCUACUUUCCGUUCAAGCCAGCGGUAAUCAAAGGUAAUCUUAAGUAUGAGCACCACGCUCACACUUAAUCCUACAACGCUAACUAGUUGCAGCUAGCUAGAGCUCCUAUACAAGAUAGGACGAUGAUGCACACACAGGAGUGGUUACAGGUCACUAACUUCACUAAGACAACUAUAUUACUAAAGUAAAUGCACAACAAGACUAAAAGACUUGCACUAAGUAAGAACUCAGUAAAGUAAAGUAAGAAUAAUAUAUUAAUAAAAGGAAAGUCUUACAAAAGUAGAAAGGUACAAGAGCUAUACCAGACUCUCCAGAAGACGACUCCGGAGACCCCGAGCUUCGCUCGACUCGACUCUAACUCCCACUCUAGACUAACUACUACUCUACUUGUAUGCUUGGAACUUGUAAUGCACUUGGCCUUGGAAUUGCACACUUGAAAUGAAGGAUGGAGGCUGCCUUUUAUAGAGGGAGAUGGAGUAGGGGUUACUCCAUCGCCACGUCAUCGAUCCGCGUGACAUCUUCUCUCCACCCUUGGAUCAAACCGACCUCACAACCGCCAUUUGAUCAACGGCAGGGGCAAAUCAACAUGUGGGACAUGUGGGGAAGGUCGGUGGGAGGCCACCGACCCUGGAACCGCCUUUGAUGUGGGGUCGGGCGACCCCACUUCUGGGCCUCUGGGCCCACCAGCAGUGUCCACAGGGGUCCCUUAUGUCGGUGGACUAGGUGGCACACCUGGGUCCCACCAAAGAGGGGUCGGGCGACCCCCUCCCUGUGGGCCCAGGGUGUCACCUGUUGUCCCCUCGAUCUCCUCUUGAUGAUUCUGAUGUUGGCUUUGUCAAAUAAUGUCUUGAAUUUGUUGUUCCUGCAUAAACAAGCUAAGAGUACAAGUGGAACUAGUUAUGGAUAAAAUAUGUUCAUGUCAUGUCGUUUCCCCUUGCAACCGAGGCAUGUUGACGGUGUUUUGUAUGUGGAUUUCUAUGGUAUAUCCACCGUCAACAUUCACCAAUGACGAAGCCCCGCGGCAGCGAAGCCGGCAGUGCGCCGGCGCGUCCCUUCCCCCGAUCCAACUUGUGUCUUCAUCGCUGUGUGAUGCCAAAUUAGGAGCACCACCAGGUGUGCCAAUCCCUUCCCUUCCGUUACUGAUGUGUGAAACCCUACCUUAUGCCAAUUUGCUAUCUCUAUUCGGAUCUGAUCUAAUGACGUGUAUACAUGUAUUAUGCCU
This 9858-nucleotide long non-coding RNA is filed under the name Sorghum bicolor (sorghum). RNAcentral describes it as "long non-coding RNA (SBIC_LNC016441)". The stretch from base 7283 to 7389 matches the Rfam family "Plant small nucleolar RNA R71". Lineage: Eukaryota; Viridiplantae; Streptophyta; Magnoliopsida; Poales; Poaceae. The record is from RNAcentral.